Molecule: long non-coding RNA, 261 nt
Filed under: Gossypium barbadense (sea-island cotton)
Lineage: Eukaryota; Viridiplantae; Streptophyta; Magnoliopsida; Malvales; Malvaceae
Description: long non-coding RNA (GBAR_LNC015385)
Source: RNAcentral
CGACACGCUCUAUAAUCUCAUACGGUCCAAUGAAUCUUGGACUCAAUUUGCCUUUACGACCGAAUCUGAGUACUUUCUUCCAUGGUGAGACUUUCAAAAACACUUUAUCGCCGGUCUGAAAUUCUAUAUCUUUUCUUUUCAAAUCCGCAUAAGAUUUCUGACGAUCCGAUGCUGAUUUCAGACUGUCCCGAAUCACUUCCACUUUCUGUUCGGUCUCUUUAAUCAAAUCAACCCCGUGUAUCUUAUUUUCACUGAGCUCGG